Molecule: non-coding RNA, 29 nt
Filed under: Rattus norvegicus (Norway rat)
Lineage: Eukaryota; Metazoa; Chordata; Mammalia; Rodentia; Muridae
Source: RNAcentral
UGGUAGUGGACCUAGUCCUGAAGCCUGAU